Molecule: long non-coding RNA, 2732 nt
Organism: Callithrix jacchus (white-tufted-ear marmoset)
Lineage: Eukaryota; Metazoa; Chordata; Mammalia; Primates; Cebidae
Source: Ensembl
GGCGCGGAUCCGGGGCCAAACCCUCCAGGGCUGCGCUGCAGACAGCGACGGCCAGAGGCGGAUACAGUCGGGUUUAGGGACCGCAGGAGCGAAUUCCCGGAGGCCUGCAGGAGCCGCCCCGCGCCGCGUCCAGCCUUUCUCUCUGGGCCUAGCGGGUCUCCCCCAGGCGCGCCCCUCCCUCCCCACAGGCGCACUUUCUCCACCUGCAUCUGGGGCGAGGCGCGGCUGGGAGCGAAGCACAAGUGGGCUGGGCGAGGUUUGGGGUUCGAGGAUUGCAGAGUGACCGCGGGGUCUGGGGAAGAGUUGUCUUGGUGGCGCCACCAGAGCCCGACCCGCCGCGGCCGGGACCCUGCAGGGCAGGUAGCGACCUGCGGAGAAGCCGCCUGGCGCGGCCGACUCGGCUGCCGGGGCGUGGGCCUGGGCCGGGCGCAGGAGCAGCGGGGAUGCUGGGUGCGCUCCGAGGGUGCGGCCUCCCGGCUGUGCGGGGCUCAGAGCCGGGUGCUGGGCGCGGGGCCUGGCAAAGGUAAGGCAGGAAUGGGCGUCUUUCUCGCGGGACGCUGGGUCGGAGGGAGCUUGAACUUGAGGUUGCUGGGGAAUCCAGAAAGGACGCCAGUGCCACCGGGAGCGCCUGCCUUGGCGCGUGGAGCUGCUCCUCCCUCAAUGGGGGACCCUGCUGGUAGCCAGAAAUCGUUCGACACAGCCGGAAUCCCAGGAAAAUCUACCUUUCUGGAGACUGCAGCUCCUGUGAUAGCUCAACAGACUUCAGUUCCUCACAAAUAUUGCUCUCUACGGUUUCCCCCAAAACACUUCAGGAAAUACAGUGUCCUGUCUUCACAAAUGCUUCUGCAUCUGAAUUCUCAUGCUGUGCUGUGCUCAUAGAGGCACCCAUCACAAGGCAGUUAAUCUCAAAUGCCCAACAGCAGAGCACUAUCUGGAUUUGUGUCUGCCACUCUGAUUGUGUACCUUCUGCAAACAGUUGCUGACUGGCUGUUUCUGCAUCCCCAGCAGAGGACUGGCAGCUUGUUAGAGCUCAUUAAAUAUUUGUCAAUUUGAAUUAAAUUUGAAAUAUUGUAUUAAAAAUCUUGCACCAACCUCCAGGGGCCUUAGCAGUGAUUUUUGUUCUUACUAUGGCAAUGUAGGUGCAUUGCACACUUAUUAAGUAUCUUGAUGCUUUCCUCCCUCUAAAUGGAACUCCAAACUUUUAUACAGUGUUAUGCUCUGCUGAGUUUCACGUAAGGACGUUGCUGCCUGCUCUUGGCAUUGAGACUUCAGGAUCAAUAUGAGGUGUUACUUCCCUAGAAGAAAGAAAUACUACUGAGUGAUUUCACAUUGCUCAGGAUCUGAACUUUUCAACUUUUAACAGAUUUUUCAUUGACUGAUAAUAGUAUACAUUUAUGAAUUCCAGUACAAUGUUAUGAUACAUGUAUACAUUGUAGGGUAACUAAAUCAGGAUAACUAAUAUAUUCAUCCCCUCACAUACUUAUUUCCAUUACCAAAAAGACGAAAGAUAUCAAGUGUUGGCAAGGAUGUGAAGGAAAGGUGACAUUUGUGCACUCCUAGCGGUAAUGCAUUUUAGAAAGAUUUGUGAAAUGGACACAACUUUAGCUUUUGAAUCCAGUAAUUAACUCUUGUGCUGUGGUACCUUGUGACAGGAAGUAAUAAAGUAAGAUUUGACAAACACAACCAACUCCCAGGAUCUCUAAGUCAGAACCUCAGUCCUUAUCUUGCCUGCAUGGCUCAUGCUUUUCAUGAUCAUCACCAGUUCAGAGACUGCAAGAUGACAGAUUUCAGUCGUGAAAUCAGUGAAUUUGUUGGUGCUGCUGCUUGGCAGAUACUCAGCAUCCUGCUCUAGACUUGGAUUUCCUUAUCAGCGAUUCUCCUUUAGGAUUUGUGUGGAAGAAAUUGGUAGCAAAAAAGAAAGGCAUUGCGAUCCUCCAACUUCCUGAAAUCCAUCCCUCUGGAAUAUCUUCCUCCUUAAAUAUGAAAUAAAUGUUUAAACGUAAGUUCUACUAAGGCACAAAGAAAUUCUUUAGCAUCUGAGUUUUCUUGAGGAUUUGUAUGCUGCACAUCUCAGCUCCACUCAUCUUCAAGAACUAUAGUUUUAUUUUAUUUCAUUUGUUUUCACUGUCUAGAAAUAGAAGGCAGUUAGUCUUAAAGGUAAUAGUGAUUUGACAGCCUUGUAAUUUUUCAGGUCUGCGGGUCCUAGAUGUUUCUUGCCAGGGUUCAACCUGAAACUGGAAGAGAGGUGGAAUAUCGUCUCACUAAAGAGGUUUUCUGGGGUACUUAUCCAAGGCUUCUUAAUGCAAUUGUCAAUGCAAAUAUCCAUAUUUCUUUUUUUUUUCUGGUCUGGUCUUACUGCUGCUUGGCAAUAUUUUGAAGUUUUAGUUGGUCAACUUCUCCCCCUUGAUGUUUGUUAGCCACUUAUGAUUAUGUGCUGGAAUGAAGGGGGAAAGGACGAUAUUUGUGACUUGAUUAGAAAUGAAACUAGGUGGAUAUUUGCAAAGUUUCUUGUAGCAUAAAUUCAAUAACUCAAUUUUAUCAGCUUUAUGCUAUAGAAAAAAACAAUAAAGAGUUAGGGCUGGAUCGCACAGCUAAAACCCGUGAUCAUACACAAUGUUUUCAUCACUGAGUAGGUUAAUAACGACCUGAAUAAAAUUUGCUGACAAUAAGAACUACAGACCACAGGAACAGAACCAAGAUUUGUUCAUUUGCUCUUUGUAGGUACAUUUCCC